This 430-nucleotide ribosomal RNA is filed under the name Pseudomonadota bacterium. Its description in RNAcentral is "Proteobacteria bacterium partial 16S ribosomal RNA". It matches the Rfam family "Bacterial small subunit ribosomal RNA", at positions 355 to 776 of the family's 1533-position model. Lineage: Bacteria; Pseudomonadati; Pseudomonadota. The record is from RNAcentral.
UGGGGAAUAUUGGACAAUGGGCGAAAGCCUGAUCCAGCCAUGCCGCGUGUGUGAAGAAGGCCUUAUGGUUGUAAAGCACUUUAAGCGAGGAGGAGGGUACUGGUAUUAAUACUACCAGCUACUGGACGUUACUCGCAGAAUAAGCACCGGCUAACUCUGUGCCAGCAGCCGCGGUAAUACAGAGGGUGCGAGCGUUAAUCGGAAUUACUGGGCGUAAAGCGCGCGUAGGUGGUUCGUUAAGUUGAAUGUGAAAGCCCCGGGCUCAACCUGGGAACUGCAUCCAAAACUGGCGAGCUAGAGUAGGGCAGAGGGUGGUGGAAUUUCCUGUGUAGCGGUGAAAUGCGUAGAUAUAGGAAGGAACACCAGUGGCGAAGGCGACCACCUGGGCUCAUACUGACACUGAGGUGCGAAAGCGUGGGGAGCAAACAGG